CGGUUUGUUCUCAGCACCCCAUCUUCUUCUUCAUCGUUCCUGGUUUUGUAUGUCAUAACUUAUGAGGAAGAAGAAGAACGGUUGCGGCCAUUUUUGGGAGUAUGUCGAGUUGUCGACAAGAGAAAACCCUAAUGGUUUUAAAGUUUGGGCUCAAGCUAGAUAAUUUUUUUCAUUUGGGCUAAUAUUCGUUGGCCCUAAUUUUAAUAAUAUUGUUUUUAUUUUUAUUUGGCCCAAUAUCUUUACAAAACCCACAGUCCAUUACAUAAAAUAUGUAUGAAAAAGAAAAACCCUAGAUCUAAGUCAUUUCUUUUGAUUUUUUCCAUUUGCUUUCUUUUCUUUCUUUUGCAGCCGAUUAUCCUUGGAGACCCUAGCAAAACAUCACUUAGAUCGUCGUCAAAGCAACCGUCAAUACUCAAUCAUCUUUCACAUUGCAUCUCGUCGUCAGCACGAAGCCUAAGUCCAUCCACUACGGUACGGAUGUUCAAGCGCCGGAGCCAGCUAGAAACUAUUUCUGGUUGUCGUUGCCGUCGCCGUUGCGGCUUAACCAUCAGCUUGUCGAAAACCCUAGAUUUAAAUGGGUUUGGGCUUGUUAUUAAAAUUUGGUCUGGGUUUGUGAUUUUAUUGGCCUUGUAAAUCUUUUUGUA
This is a long non-coding RNA of Arabidopsis lyrata subsp. lyrata, 644 nucleotides long. RefSeq lists it as uncharacterized. Lineage: Eukaryota; Viridiplantae; Streptophyta; Magnoliopsida; Brassicales; Brassicaceae. The record is from RefSeq and is a predicted model, not a curated record. The transcript is spliced from 2 exons.